This 374-nucleotide ribosomal RNA is filed under the name Arthrobacter sp. Air307. RNAcentral's name for it is "bacterial SSU rRNA". It matches the Rfam family "Bacterial small subunit ribosomal RNA", at positions 68 to 439 of the family's 1533-position model. The record is from RNAcentral. Lineage: Bacteria; Bacillati; Actinomycetota; Actinomycetes; Micrococcales; Micrococcaceae.
UGACUUCUGUGCUUGCACAGAAUGAUUAGUGGCGAACGGGUGAGUAACACGUGAGUAACCUGCCCUUGACUUCGGGAUAAGCCUGGGAAACCGGGUCUAAUACCGGAUACGACCUCCUGGCGCAUGCCAUGGGGGUGGAAAGCUUUAUGCGGUUUUGGAUGGACUCGCGGCCUAUCAGCUUGUUGGUUGGGGUAAUGGCCCACCAAGGCGACGACGGGUAGCCGGCCUGAGAGGGUGACCGGCCACACUGGGACUGAGACACGGCCCAAACUCCUACGGGAGGCAGCAGUGGGGAAUAUUGCACAAUGGGCGGAAGCCUGAUGCAGCGACGCCGCGUGAGGGAUGACGGCCUUCGGGUUGUAAACCUCUUUCAG